UUGGGAAUGACGAGGAAACCGUUACCAUUACUGAGUUUAGUAAUGGUAAUGGUUCUCUUGCUGCAUCCAAA
Loxodonta africana (African savanna elephant) is the source of this 71-nucleotide microRNA precursor. Ensembl annotates it as microRNA 451a. Its record names the gene MIR451A. The record is from Ensembl. NCBI's taxonomy places the organism in Eukaryota, Metazoa, Chordata, Mammalia, Proboscidea, Elephantidae.